CUGGUAUUGAUUGGUGCUUGCAUCAUGAUUUACAUUUGAGUGAGUGGCGAACUGGUGAGUAACACGUGGGAAACCUGCCCAGAAGCGGGGGAUAACACCUGGAAACAGAUGCUAAUACCGCAUAACAACUUGGACCGCAUGGUCCGAGUUUGAAAGAUGGCUUCGGCUAUCACUUUUGGAUGGUCCCGCGGCGUAUUAGCUAGAUGGUGAGGUAACGGCUCACCAUGGCAAUGAUACGUAGCCGACCUGAGAGGGUAAUCGGCCACAUUGGGACUGAGACACGGCCCAAACUCCUACGGGAGGCAGCAGUAGGGAAUCUUCCACAAUGGACGAAAGUCUGAUGGAGCAACGCCGCGUGAGUGAAGAAGGGUUUCGGCUCGUAAAACUCUGUUGUUAAAGAAGAACAUAUCUGAGAGUAACUGUUCAGGUAUUGACGGUAUUUAACCAGAAAGCCACGGCUAACUACGUGCCAGCAGCCGCGGUAAUACGUAGGUGGCAAGCGUUGUCCGGAUUUAUUGGGCGUAAAGCGAGCGCAGGCGGUUUUUUAAGUCUGAUGUGAAAGCCUUCGGCUCAACCGAAGAAGUGCAUCGGAAACUGGGAAACUUGAGUGCAGAAGAGGACAGUGGAACUCCAUGUGUAGCGGUGAAAUGCGUAGAUAUAUGGAAGAACACCAGUGGCGAAGGCGGCUGUCUGGUCUGUAACUGACGCUGAGGCUCGAAAGUAUGGGUAGCAAACAGGAUUAGAUACCCUGGUAGUCCAUACCGUAAACGAUGAAUGCUAAGUGUUGGAGGGUUUCCGCCCUUCAGUGCUGCAGCUAACGCAUUAAGCAUUCCGCCUGGGGAGUACGGCCGCAAGGCUGAAACUCAAAGGAAUUGACGGGGGCCCGCACAAGCGGUGGAGCAUGUGGUUUAAUUCGAAGCUACGCGAAGAACCUUACCAGGUCUUGACAUACUAUGCAAAUCUAAGAGAUUAGACGUUCCCUUCGGGGACAUGGAUACAGGUGGUGCAUGGUUGUCGUCAGCUCGUGUCGUGAGAUGUUGGGUUAAGUCCCGCAACGAGCGCAACCCUUAUUAUCAGUUGCCAGCAUUAAGUUGGGCACUCUGGUGAGACUGCCGGUGACAAACCGGAGGAAGGUGGGGAUGACGUCAAAUCAUCAUGCCCCUUAUGACCUGGGCUACACACGUGCUACAAUGGAUGGUACAACGAGUUGCGAACUCGCGAGAGUAAGCUAAUCUCUUAAAGCCAUUCUCAGUUCGGAUUGUAGGCUGCAACUCGCCUACAUGAAGUCGGAAUCGCUAGUAAUCGCGGAUCAGCAUGCCGCGGUGAAUACGUUCCCGGGCCUUGUACACACCGCCCGUCACACCAUGAGAGUUUGUAACACCCAAAGUCGGUGG
Molecule: ribosomal RNA, 1394 nt
Filed under: Lactiplantibacillus plantarum
Lineage: Bacteria; Bacillati; Bacillota; Bacilli; Lactobacillales; Lactobacillaceae
Description: bacterial SSU rRNA
Rfam family: Bacterial small subunit ribosomal RNA
Source: RNAcentral